Pangasianodon gigas (Mekong giant catfish) is the source of this 72-nucleotide non-coding RNA. NCBI's taxonomy places the organism in Eukaryota, Metazoa, Chordata, Actinopteri, Siluriformes, Pangasiidae. The record is from the annotation of a GenBank genome assembly.
CUACUUAAUUUUUAAGUAUGCAUACUUGUUUUUAAAGUAUGCAUUUUUAGUAUGGUCACCUUUUUCAUAUCA